RNAcentral lists this ribosomal RNA (274 nucleotides) under uncultured bacterium. RNAcentral describes it as "partial 16S ribosomal RNA". It matches the Rfam family "Bacterial small subunit ribosomal RNA", at positions 523 to 796 of the family's 1533-position model. The record is from RNAcentral.
AUACGGGGGGAGCGAGCGUUGUUCGGAAUUAUUGGGCGUAAAGCGUAGGUAGGCGGUCGAAUAAGUCAGACGUGUAAGCCCUCGGCUCAACCGAGGAAUUGCGUUUGAAACUAUUUGACUUGAGUAUAGGAGAGGAAAGCGGAAUUCCCAGUGUAGCGGUGAAAUGCGUUGAUAUUGGGAAGAACAUCUGUGGCGAAGGCGGCUUUCUGGCCUAUUACUGACGCUGAGAUACGAAAGCUAGGGUAGCGAACGGGAUUAGAAACACCAGUAGUCC